Molecule: non-coding RNA, 222 nt
Filed under: Geosporobacter subterraneus
Lineage: Bacteria; Bacillati; Bacillota; Clostridia; Peptostreptococcales; Thermotaleaceae
Description: T-box sequence
Rfam family: T-box leader
About the family: Uncharged tRNA acts as the effector for transcription antitermination of genes in the T-box leader family.
Source: RNAcentral
UUAAAGACGAAGAUGGGGACUAGUAGAAGGUUAAACCCUGGUAGAGAGCAGAAUCCCGCGGCUGAAAGGAUCUGCAGGAAGCACCUUGCGAACCCACCCCGGAGUUUUGGACUGAAGCGAGUAAGUCUUAACGGUAUUGGCCCGUUACAGCCGAGUAAAGAGGAUCUUCUAAAGAAGAUUAAUUAGAGUGGUACCGCGGAAAAUAAACCUUUCGUCUCUACA